GACGAACGCUGGCGGCGCGCCUAACACAUGCAAGUCGAACGAGCGAGAGAGAGCUUGCUUUCUCAAGCGAGUGGCGAACGGGUGAGUAACGCGUGAGGAGCCUGCCUCAAAGAGGGGGACAACAGUUGGAAACGACUGCUAAUACCGCAUAAGCCCACAGGUCGGCAUCGACCAGAGGGAAAAGGAGCAAUCCGCUUUGAGAUGGCCUCGCGUCCGAUUAGCUAGUUGGUGAGGUAACGGCCCACCAAGGCAACGAUCGGUAGCCGGACUGAGAGGUUGAACGGCCACAUUGGGACUGAGACACGGCCCAGACUCCUACGGGAGGCAGCAGUGGGGAAUAUUGCACAAUGGGGGAAACCCUGAUGCAGCGACGCCGCGUGGAGGAAGAAGGUCUUCGGAUUGUAAACUCCUGUUGUUGAGGAAGAUAAUGACGGUACUCAACAAGGAAGUGACGGCUAACUACGUG
RNAcentral lists this ribosomal RNA (466 nucleotides) under uncultured bacterium. Its description in RNAcentral is "partial 16S ribosomal RNA". It matches the Rfam family "Bacterial small subunit ribosomal RNA", at positions 28 to 507 of the family's 1533-position model. The record is from RNAcentral.